RNAcentral lists this ribosomal RNA (486 nucleotides) under uncultured bacterium. RNAcentral's name for it is "partial 16S ribosomal RNA". It matches the Rfam family "Bacterial small subunit ribosomal RNA", at positions 30 to 507 of the family's 1533-position model. The record is from RNAcentral.
AUUGAACGCUGGCGGCAUGCCUUACACAUGCAAGUCGAACGGCAGCACGGGUGCUUGCACCUGGUGGCGAGUGGCGAACGGGUGAGUAAUACAUCGGAACAUGUCCUGUAGUGGGGGAUAGCCCGGCGAAAGCCGGAUUAAUACCGCAUACGAUCUACGGAUGAAAGCGGGGGACCUUCUGGCCUCGCGCUAUAGGGUUGGCCGAUGGCUGAUUAGCUAGUUGGUGGGGUAAAGGCCUACCAAGGCGACGAUCAGUAGCUGGUCUGAGAGGACGACCAGCCACACUGGGACUGAGACACGGCCCAGACUCCUACGGGAGGCAGCAGUGGGGAAUUUUGGACAUUGGGCGAAAGCCUGAUCCAGCAAUGCCGCGUGUGUGAAGAAGGCCUUCGGGUUGUAAAGCACUUUUGUCCGGAAAGAAAUCCUUGGCCCUAAUACGGUCGGGGGAUGACGGUACCGGAAGAAUAAGCACCGGCUAACUACGUG